This 460-nucleotide ribosomal RNA is filed under the name uncultured bacterium. Its description in RNAcentral is "bacterial SSU rRNA". It matches the Rfam family "Bacterial small subunit ribosomal RNA", at positions 338 to 795 of the family's 1533-position model. The record is from RNAcentral.
CCUACGGGGGGCAGCAGUGAGGAAUAUUGGUCAAUGGGCGCAAGCCUGAACCAGCCAUGCCGCGUGCAGGAUGACGGUCCUAUGGAUUGUAAACUGCUUUUGCACAGGAAGAAACACUACCUCGUGAGGUAGCUUGACGGUACUGUGAGAAUAAGGAUCGGCUAACUCCGUGCCAGCAGCCGCGGUAAUACGGAGGAUCCAAGCGUUAUCCGGAAUCAUUGGGUUUAAAGGGUCCGUAGGCGGUCUAAUAAGUCAGUGGUGAAAGCCCUACGCUCAACGUAGGAACGGCCAUUGAUACUGUUAGACUUGAAUUAUUUGGAAGUAACUAGAAUAUGUAGUGUAGCGGUGAAAUGCUUAGAGAUUACAUGGAAUACCAAUUGCGAAGGCAGGUUACUACAAAUGGAUUGACGCUGAUGGACGAAAGCGUGGGUAGCGAACAGGAUUAGAUACCCCAGUAGUC